AUUGAACGCUGGCGGCAGGCCUAACACAUGCAAGUCGAGCGAGCGGCGGACGGGUGAGUAAUGUAUGGGGACUGCCCGAUAGAGGGGGAUAACUACUGGACACGGUGGCUAAUACCGCAUACUAUCGGAUACCCCAUAUGGGAUUAGCUAGUAGGUUGGGUAAAGGCUCACCUAGGCGACGCUCACUAGCUGGUCUGAGAGGCUGAUUAGCCAGACGGGGACUGAGACACGGCCCAGACUCCUGCGGAGGCAGCGGUGGGGAAUAUGGCACAAUGGGCUGAAGCCUGAUGCAGCCAGUCCGCGUGAAUGAAGAAGGCCUUAGGGUUGUAAAUAACUGUCAGCGGGGAGGCGUUACCCGCAGAAGAAGCACCGGCUAACUCCGUGCCAGCAGCCGCGGUAAUAC
This 403-nucleotide ribosomal RNA is filed under the name uncultured bacterium. Its description in RNAcentral is "partial 16S ribosomal RNA". It matches the Rfam family "Bacterial small subunit ribosomal RNA", at positions 30 to 526 of the family's 1533-position model. The record is from RNAcentral.